Molecule: small RNA, 694 nt
Filed under: Pan troglodytes (chimpanzee)
Lineage: Eukaryota; Metazoa; Chordata; Mammalia; Primates; Hominidae
Description: processed transcript
Source: RNAcentral
AGUCCAGCCGGCCCGGCCCUGCCCUGCCCUGCCCUGCCCGGCCCUGCCCUGCACUGCCCGGCCCCGCACGGGCGGCGCGAUGUGAGGCGUCCGAGCCCAGAGCCUCCGCCUGGCAUCAGCUCCACGCAGCCCAGCGCCGGCACGCGCGAGGCCCCCCUUCUGCAGAGGCCGGGCUGGAGGAGAAGAUGGCGGCCAAGCAGCCCCCGCCUCUGAUGAAGAAGCACAGCCAGACGGACCUCGUGAGCCGCCUGAAGACCCGCAAGAUCCUCGGCGUGGGCGGGGAGGAUGACGACGGGGAGGUGCAUCGCUCCAAGAUCAGCCAGGUCUUAGGCAAUGAAAUCAAGUUUACCAUUCGGGAGCCUUUGGGGCUCAGGGUCUGGCAGUUCGUCUCUGCUGUGCUCUUCUCCGGCAUUGCCAUCAUGGCGCUUGCCUUCCCUGACCAGCUCUAUGAUGCGGUCUUUGAUGGAGCCCAGGUGACCAGCAAGACCCCCAUCCGCCUCUACGGCGGUGCCCUCCUCAAUGCUGCAGCCCACACCCCAGCCUCUGAUGAAGCUCUCUGCUGGGGAUGUGCUGCCAUCUUGUGGCCAUUGGUGGAAUACACCCAGUGGGUUGGAACUUGCAGUUGCCACCAUCUGCAAGGAGCGCUCAUAAGCAUCUCCCUGAUCAUGUGGAACGCUCUCUACACGGCUGAGAA